CUCACUCCUUUCUAUUACACGGGUAAAUUCCAUUUUUCCUGUGGAACUCAUGCAUUAAUAUCUCUGAUACCAGCCCCCGCUAGAACUUAGCUGGCUCUGACACCCAAACCUAACUUAAAAUUCUAAGUCUAAAAGAAAGAUGCUUCAAAACCACAAAUGAACUGGCAAAUCAGUUCUCGCAACAGAGCUCGUUUCUCCAUGUUUUUAGCAUUGAAUCAGUCUUUCUGACAGAGGUGGUUUAAUUUACCCUUCUCGCCGACGCAACUGGACUCUGCCACACAGCUCACAGGAGUCGGGGUUGAGAGUGAAAUCCAAACCCUGCCAUAAGCUUUUCACUGUUAAUCACCUGUGGGGCUAGCAAUGGGGUACAUCAGAAAGUCUCAUUUCCACCAAAAAGCCUAGGUCCCAUGAGGCCCACUCUUUUGGGUGCCCACCUAACAAGUGUUUGCUGGAGAGGACAUGUGGAUGACAGAACACUCAGGAAUGCUUGAAGUGGAAGGACCCAGCAGUCACCGAGGAGGAUCACAGACCUGAGCUUCCAGCCUCUUCCAGUUCCUGAACUGCCACCACCUCUGCCCCCAGGGCUGUGUGCGAUUCUGCACCACCUGCAUACCGUCUCAGAAGAUUAUUGAGUAUCCAGAAGACAGGUUAGGUAAAGGACUCCCUGUAGGCAGCUUUGGGGAGGUCAUCACCCAGGCUUAGUCAGGACCUCUCGGGAGCGCGGCUGUUUGGUGGCCGCUCAUUUUCCUGUAAAUGAGGUCAAUAAAUUUACUGUCUUCCAAAGCUGGACUUGAAUUCCAAAGCUAUUUCUUUGAUUCCUUGUCGGUGUCCCAUCCGGAAUGCAUAGACAUUUGCUCAUUUCUUCUUCAGGAUAAUUUGGCAAGCCAUGUCGGUAUUAUAUAUGUGUGUGUAUAUAAUCACACACAUAUAUAUUUCCCAUUACAAAUGAUAUUAUAGCUACAUUCUACAUGUGUAUUAUAUACAUACCUAAAAUGGAAAGUUUUUGUUUUAUGCCUUUGGAUGCAUACGAAACCAUGCACAUGGACUAUGCCCCGUGGUGAAAUACACACAGUUUAAAUUUUAAUAGUUAUUGUCACAUUACCCUACAAUGCAUGAACCAAUCUAAACCCUAUCAACAAUAUAUAGAGUGCUUAUGUUCACACACUAAUUGUUUACUAUUUGGUCUUAUUCAUAUUUAAACUAAGAAAAAUGGUAUCUGGCUGUAACUAGAAAAAGGGAGCCUUGGUGUUGGGGAGAAGGUUCCGUGACGUCCCAGCCACACAAAUACGAUGACCUGAGUUCAAGCCCCAGACCACAUGUAAGAGCUGGAUGCAGUUACCCAGUACUGGGGAGGCUGAAGCAGGAGGACCCCGGAGGCUUGCCAGCCAGAUAGUCUAGCCUCAUUGGCCGCCUUCCCUCCUUGGACCGCUGAGCAUUCCCUGAAGCCAAUGUCCACACUCUUCUUCUCUUCCGAGUCCUUUGCUCAGUCCCCAGGGAAAGACCUGGGUGUGCAGUGCGGGGAUGAAGACAAGAGACAGACAGAUGCACAGACACACACAACGCUGAGGUUUGAUGGACUGAGGUUUCCGCUGGAGAAACCACGCGAUGCUGUAAACUCAGCAAGAUUAUUGUGUACAGUUGAACAUGGUGUGGGGGGGGUAUUGUAAACAAACAGGGUUUAGGGUACAUUUGGAUCAAGGAGACAGAGUUAGCUAAUCUUGGUAGGAGCUGUCUCUGUAGGGGAGCUGCCUUCAGGCCAUGAAUGUGGGAGGAGGGGAGAAAGCUAUGUUGGGCACUUUCCGCACACCCUAUCAACAACCGCGCAUGAACCAGAGAAAGGCUCUGCCAUCCCCGCCUGAGCCUUAUCCUGGGGGAGGGGGCUGCUCUGCCAUUCCUGUAUGGAUCGGUUUGAGGCCUUAGUAAGACCUUGCCCGUGUCAACAAAACAGUCAGGCCCUCACAGUUGGGCUUUCUCCACACUUGUACAAUGCAGUGUGGUAAAUACACGAAUAGGAUGUGUGUACUACCUGAGCACAGAAGUAGUUAAUUAUGGGCAAGCAGCUUGUUCUUAAAUAUAUGUUGUUAGCUGUUUCAAAAACAUAUUGUAUAAACAAAAUAUUUUAUAAACAAGCUAUUUUAUAAACAAACUAUUUUAUAAACAUGUAUGUGAUGAAAGGAAGACAAAUAUGAUACUUUGGUCAAUAAAACCCUACGUAGCAAUAUGGCUUACAACUACAGGUUAUAUUUGGUAAAUGUAUAGUAGAUGAGUGUUUAUAAUCUAUUGUUUGUAUAAUUUUAUUAAAUUUUGUAUACUAUUGUAUACUUUAUAAUCUACUAUUAUUGAAAUGAGAGAAAGCAGAGCAAUCUACAAAUUGUCUACUUUGAUACUUGUUUAGGGAGAUUUCCAAGUUUGAUUAAAA
Molecule: non-coding RNA, 2419 nt
Organism: Myodes glareolus (Bank vole)
Lineage: Eukaryota; Metazoa; Chordata; Mammalia; Rodentia; Cricetidae
Source: RefSeq, a predicted model, not a curated record